UUUCAGCAUUUAGCUAUUUCAAAUAUUAGACUCUCCUUCCUGUAAAUAGGUCUUGUGUGUGCUCUUCUUACUUCUUGCAUGACUGAUGGUCAUGUAAAUAGCAGUGGUCCUGAAACAGAUCUUGUUUUAGACUCUUACCAGAAACAACUGCAGACAUAUCAUCAGCCUUUGCGAUAUAAAAGCCGUGAAAGAGGGUAAAGGAGAAAGAGAGGAAGAGAUGUAAAGGUAAAAAGAAGGGAGAAAAAAAGCAAAGGAAGAAAAUAGAAAAAGAGAGUGCACUUCACUUUCUUGUUAUUCUUCAGAGUACUGAGGUGUUUUGUCAAGUAAGGCAAAGGCUGCUGAUUUACAACUCAGAGCUAUUUUUAUUUUUUUUUCUCUUCUCCAGAGACUACACAUACAAUUUUCCUAUGGAGUGCGUUCUCCUUGAUUUCUUCUCAAAUCCUGGUUGCUCCAAGAAGUCACAGUCCUGGAUCUUUUCUGAACGAAAGAAACCACAAGACAACCUCAACUCUUCUCAGAACACGCUACAGUGUCUAAAUGAGAACAAAUGUCAAGGGUUUCCAGUUAGAUCACCGCACUGUAGACCAGCAGUAUAUCUACCAAACAAAGAUAUAAAGGGAGAAGUACCAAAUAAACGCCAGGAGGUGUGACAGGAUCAGCUAAACAUCUUUAAAUAGCCUUUACAUUGUUCUUCUACCCAUCGCAGAGAGAUGCCAUUUUAAGGCCAGAAGGGAACAUGCUGAUAAUUUAGUUUUAUAUCUUGCUGAAAUCCUUCCUUUCUGCUCGUCUUCAGUUGGCUCGCAUUCCCUCCUCCCUGCAUGUCUCUCCUUUGAGUACUCAUUGACUUGGAAGACACACCCAAGAUUAGUUAAUCACCACCUCACUCCACCGACACUCCAUUAUUCAAGCAAACCACACACACCCCCAGCUUCAGACUUAGUGGAAAGUCUUACUGAGGUGGCCAUGGCCACACACGGGCCCUGAGCACUUGUACAAUAACACCUCUGUGCUCAUAUUUUUUGUUAUCGUGGGGGGUUAUGUUGGCUGGAGAAACCAACCACCACCUUCCUUUACGGGACAUUGUUUGCUGUUGUUUCUCACUUAGAAGAGCUCAUGAUUGACAUUGCAAAAGGAAUUAUCACAAGCAACUAUUCCUCAUGGCAUCUUCCCAAGGAAAAGUCAGUCAGCAUUGUUCAAGUAACUCAUUAUUUGCAUUGCAAUUGGACCUAAAGGCCUUAACCAGGAGGAGGGUCCCCUUUUGUUAGGUAUUGUAGAAAUGUCACAGAAGUCAUGGAUAUUUAAAAUUACAGAGCUGUUUAAACUUUUAUAAUCACAAAUGUUUAAAACUGAAGAGCCAACAGAAGUUUAGAAACUGCUUCUAGAUCCAAACCUGUGGUUCAUGGUACCAAACCCAACAUCUUGUCUGCCUUAUCUUCCUCUCUCAUUGAGGUAAGUAUACAUGUGUGCAUGUUGGUAUGUGUGAGCUGUGAAGAAAUAAAAUAUGCAAAG
RNAcentral lists this long non-coding RNA (1509 nucleotides) under Anser brachyrhynchus (Pink-footed goose). RNAcentral's name for it is "lncRNA (ENSABRG00000002900.1)". Lineage: Eukaryota; Metazoa; Chordata; Aves; Anseriformes; Anatidae. The record is from RNAcentral.